UACGGAGGAUGCGAGCGUUAUCCGGAUUUAUUGGGUUUAAAGGGUGCGUAGGCGGGCUUUUAAGUCAGCGGUAAAAAUUCGGGGCUCAACCCCGUCCGGCCGUUGAAACUGGGGGCCUUGAGUGGGCGAAAAGAAGGCGGAAUGCGUGGUGUAGCGGUGAAAUGCAUAGAUAUCACGCAGAACCCCGAUUGCGAAGGCAGCCUUCCGGCGCCCUACUGACGCUGAGGCACGAAAGUGCGGGGAUCGAACAGG
RNAcentral lists this ribosomal RNA (252 nucleotides) under uncultured bacterium. RNAcentral's name for it is "partial 16S ribosomal RNA". It matches the Rfam family "Bacterial small subunit ribosomal RNA", at positions 524 to 776 of the family's 1533-position model. The record is from RNAcentral.